UGGUAAACUACAAAAUGCUAAUUCAAUGGGUGAACAAG
RNAcentral lists this non-coding RNA (38 nucleotides) under Trypanosoma vivax. Lineage: Eukaryota; Euglenozoa; Kinetoplastea; Trypanosomatida; Trypanosomatidae. The record is from RNAcentral.